CCCCUGGCAAUGGUUUGCAGCCAGCCCAGCAGCAGGACCCAGGCCUGGUUGCACCCUCGUUAGCAGGUCAUUUGGCAGUUGGGUGAAAGGAGAUAAAACCCAGCUGUGGAAAGGAGACUGGUGGUUUGAUUGGGUGUUUCUGGUCUUUGUUCUGUCUGGGUUGGUUUGUAGUCUGUUUGGGGUCCAGUAGUGCUGCUGCAGAUGGAUGCCUGUGCCUGAGGAGGUGGUGGGCUGUGUUGCAGCAUCCUUAAGCUGUGCCACCUGCUUGCACCCAGAGCUGUGACAGCACCAUGGGCUCAUCUCUCAGUCCUCUCACCUUUCCCUUCCCUGGUUCAGCUCAACCUUUCCUCCUGACGUGCAGACAGUUCUCACCUCCUUGACGUGGGUGAUGAAGACCACGCCAACCUCUCCUUGCUGCGACUCCGCAGAGAUGGAGAACCGCAUCAUUCCCAGCGGCACGGCUUCUGGCACCAGAUCUAAAUCGGGUUUGCUCUUGCUGCUCAGAACAAUUAAAGCACUUCUUCCCCCCAUCUCCACGCCUGCUUUGGAGCAAGAAGAGAAGCAAGUAUGGAGAUGCAGCCCGGGACGGCAGCACCCCCCAGCAGACAAUCUGGUGAGGUGGUGAACCUCACUCCCCGCAGCUCCGCGACGAGAAGGGGAGAAACUUUUCCAUUCCAUCUGCUCCCAGCCUUCUCGACUAGGUACCCGCUUUCCACGCCGAGAGCAGAUGUUCCUGCUGGAAAUAGGCUUCUCUUCUGAAGUUGGAGCCAUCACUUUGCAUUAGAGCCUGCAAGCCUGCUUUCUGCCGUAUAGUGCUUUCCCUGCUGACAGGGUGUGAGGCACAAAACAUUUUAAAUUAAGAUCUUUACAAUUGUGAACAUGCUGCAAUAAAUAUUAAUGUUAACUUGUUAAAUGGCGAAUCAGCAAUUUAUAUAAUGGCUGGGGAUGCCUCUCCUUAAGUGACACGGGGUGGCUGGGUGUUGCUCUGUGUUUCCCAGGCUCGGCUCACCACUGCCUGGGUGUCACCUGCUCCCCCCCUGCCUCGAGGACGUGGUCCCUGGUGAUGCCACACCACAUUUGCCACCCUGGGGACUGCAGCACAAGUGGUUUGCAGUGAGGCUUUGAAGCCCAAACUACUCCAGCCGCUCCAGCAGGAUGCCAGGCAUGCUGGGCAUUUCUCUGUAUGAACUAUCUGUGCAUGUUUGACACCCCUGCAAAGCCCAUUUCAGUCCAGCGCUCCAGGUGUGUUUGCAGCCUAGAUUACUUCUUCCUUUGUUCAAUUGUCUAGAAGGGAGAGACAAGACCCUUGUAUACCUCACUGCUGGGAGUGGUGGAUGAGCAUUGGUAGAGUUGUCUUGAUUGUUGAAUAAAAGGCACCUCACAAGUGCAACCUGUUGUUAUCAA
This is a long non-coding RNA of Columba livia (rock pigeon), 1404 nucleotides long. RefSeq lists it as uncharacterized. NCBI's taxonomy places the organism in Eukaryota, Metazoa, Chordata, Aves, Columbiformes, Columbidae. The record is from RefSeq and is a predicted model, not a curated record. The transcript is spliced from 2 exons.